RNAcentral lists this ribosomal RNA (1493 nucleotides) under Acanthamoeba culbertsoni. RNAcentral's name for it is "16S ribosomal RNA". It matches the Rfam family "Bacterial small subunit ribosomal RNA". Lineage: Eukaryota; Discosea; Longamoebia; Acanthamoebidae. The record is from RNAcentral.
AACAAUCGUUGGGUUUUAUUCUGGCUCCGAGUGAACGCUGGUAACAUAUUUUAACACAUGCAAAUCGAACGAGAUUUUCUAAAUCUAGUGGUGACCUGGUGAGUAAUGUAAGAGAAUCGAAGUGCAGGUUAGGUCAAAUACCUAAUUUGAAAGAUUUAUAUCGCUUGCAAUAGAGCUCUUAUAGGAUUAGGUAGUUGUUGUAGUAAUUAUUCAACAAGCCGACGAUGCUUAGCUGGUUUGAGAGAAUGAUCAGCCACAUUGGGACUGAAAACGGCCCAAGUCUUUUAAAAGGGCAGCAGUGGAGAAUAUUUGACAAUGGGCGAAAGCUUGAUCGAGUAAUGUUACGUGGGUGAUCAGAAGGCUUAAUUGCUGUAAAACUCGUUUCGUCAAGGAUUAUAAUGCAAUCGUACUUGAAGGAGAAGCCCUGACUAACUUCGUGCCAGCAGUCGCGGUAAUACGGAGAGGGCUAGUGUUAUUCGCAUUGACUGGGUGUAAAGGGUGCGUAGGUGGUCUAUUAAGUUUUGAGACAAAAGUUAGACUUAGAGUUUAAUUAUCUCCUAAUACUAAUAGACUAGAGUUUAUUGGAAGAUGGCUGAACAUUAAGUGUAAAGGUGAAAUUUUUCGAUAUUUAAAGGGCAUUCGUUAGGCGAAGGCUGUCAUCUACUUUAAUACUGACACUGAGGCACAAAAGCAUAGGGAUCAAACAGGAUUAGAGACCCUGGUAGUCUAUGCCCUGACCGAUGAAUAUUGAUUACGUUUAGUUACGUAAUUAAGCUAACGCGUAAAUAUUCCACCUGAGUACUACGACCGCAAGGUUAAAACUCAAAGAAACUGACGGAAGAUUGUAUAAGCGGUGGAGUAUGUGGUUUAAUUUGAUAUAACGCAAAAAAUCUUACCAACUCUUGAAUACAAAUUGCGUUUACAUUCCGAAGUAAGGNNNCUUACUUCGGAAUGUCGCAGUGCUUCUUUUGUUAAAAGAAGCACUUGAUUUGUACAGGUGCUGCAUGGUUGUCGGCAGUUCGUGUUGUGAAAUGUUUUGUUAAUUCAUUUAACGGACGUAACCUUCAGUCAUAUUUCAAUUCAGUAUAUGGCAACAUUAAUUUCAAAAUUAAUUGAGAGGAGAAGAAGUCAAAUCAUUAUGGCCUAUAUAAGUUGGGCUACACACGUACUACAAUGGUAAUCACAAUGUGAAGCAAAAACGCAAGUUUUAGCUAAUCAUUAAAAAUUAACCUAAGUUCGAAUUGCUCUCUGAAAGUCGAGAGCAUGAAGUCGGAAUCGCUAGUAAUCGCANAAUAGAAUGCUGCGGUGAAUACAUUCUCAAUCUUUGUACACACCGCCCGUCACGCCAUGGGAAUUGGUUUGGUUAGAAGUUUUGUAGAAUUUAAGCGUUAUUUGUGAGGAAUACUUUUUUCCACGAAUAGGUUAAAUUGCUAGGAACGACAACUAGAUUGAGGACUGGGGUGAAGUCGUAACAAGGUAGCGGUAGGGGAACC